Molecule: long non-coding RNA, 246 nt
Filed under: Elaeis guineensis (African oil palm)
Lineage: Eukaryota; Viridiplantae; Streptophyta; Magnoliopsida; Arecales; Arecaceae
Description: long non-coding RNA (EGUI_LNC065974)
Source: RNAcentral
AUUGUAAUAAAUCUAAGAUACAAUUUUGUACUUAAUAUAUUGAUAUGAUCAAUAAAAGAGCAAGUUUUUUUUCAUUCAAGUGUAAUGUGUCCUUGAAUCGUCUAUGAAAUUAGUUUCGAUAUAUAUUCUCAAGAUGUUGAGAAUUAGAUAUAUGUAUUUAAUUUUUAAAUACUCCCGAUCAUAGGAUUAUCAUGAGGACGGUGAAAGAUCCAGAUAGACUAGCGCACAAAUCACUUUCUUCGGGAU